This 1473-nucleotide ribosomal RNA is filed under the name uncultured Bordetella sp. RNAcentral's name for it is "partial 16S-23S ribosomal RNA intergenic spacer". It matches the Rfam family "Bacterial small subunit ribosomal RNA". The record is from RNAcentral. Lineage: Bacteria; Pseudomonadati; Pseudomonadota; Betaproteobacteria; Burkholderiales; Alcaligenaceae.
GGCUCAGAUCAUGGCUCAGAUUGAACGCUGGCGGGAUGCUUUACACAUGCAAGUCGAAAACGGCAGCACGGACUUCGGUCUGGUGGCGAGUGGCGAACGGGUGAGUAAUGUAUCGGAACGUGCCCAGUAGCGGGGGAUAACUACGCGGUGUUGUAGCUAAUACUGCAUACUGCCCUUCGGGGAAAGCAGAUCUUCGGCCUCUUGCAAUUAUUAGAGCGGCCGAUAUCGAUUAGCUGGUUGGUGGGGUAACGGCUCACCAAGGCGACGAUCCGUAGCUGGUUUGAGGGGACGACCAGUUACUACUGGACUGGAGGACACGGCCCAGACUCCUACGGGAGGCAAGGGGAAUUUUGGACAAUGGGGAAACCCUGAUCCAGCCAUCCCGCGUGUGCGAUGAAGGCCUUCGGGUUGUAAAGCACUUUUGGCAGGAAAAGAAAUGUCACGGGAUAAUACCUCGUGCAACUGACGGUACCUGCAGAAUAAGCACCGGCUAACUACGUGCCAGCAGCCGCGGUAAUACGUAGGGUGCAAGCGUUAAUCGGAAUUACUGGGCGAAGCGUGCGCAGGCGGUUCGGAAAGAAGAUGUGAAAUCCCAGAGCUUAACUUUGGAACUACUAACUGCAUUUCGCCAGAGUGUGUCAGAGGGAGGAAUUUCGGGCGUGUAGCAGUGAAAUGGGUGUAGAUAUGCGGAGGACUGAUGGCGAAGGCAGCCUCCUGAUAACACUGACGUCGGCACGAAAGCGCGGGGAGCAACAGAUUAGAUACUCCUGUAGUCCACGCCCUAAACGAUGUCACCAGCUGUUGGGGCCUUCGGGCCUUGGAAGGCAGCUAACGCGUAGAAGUUGACCGCCUGGGGAGUACGGUCGCAAGAUUAAACCCAAAGGAAUUGACGGGGACUCCGCACAAGCGGUGGAUGAUGUGGAUUAAUUCGAUGCAACGCAAAACCUUACCUACCCUUUGACAUGUCUGGAAUCCCGAAGAGAUUUGGGAGUGCUCGCAAGAGAACCGGAACACAGGUGUUGCAUGGCUGUCGUCAGCCGUGUCGUGAGAUGUUGGGUUAAGUCCCGCAACGAGCGCAACCCUUGUCAUUAGUUGCUACGAAAGGGCACUCUAAUGAGACUGCCGGUGACAAACCGGAGGAAGGUGGGGAUGACGUCAAGUCCUCAUGGCCCUUAUGGUAGGGCUUCACACGUCAUACAAUGGUCGAGACAGAGGGUCGCCAACCCGCGAGGGGGAGCCAAUCCCAGAAACCUUCGAUCGUAGUCCGGAUCGCAAAGUCUGCAACUCGACUGCGUGAAGUCGGAAUCGCUAGCAAUCGCGGAUCAGCAUGUCGCGGUGAAUACGUUCCCGGGUCUUGUACACACCGCCCGUCACACCAUGGGAGUGGGUUUUACCAGAAGUAGUUAGCCUAACCGUAAGGAGGGCGAUUACCACGGUAGGAUUCAUGACUGGGGUGAAGUCGUAACAAGGUAG